GGAAAUUUAGGGCAGCAAGAGGCAGGAUAAGGAUUUAAGUGUCUUCCAUACUGGUGGAAAGAGCAACGUCAUCCCUCAAAGCAAAGGAACAGACAGCUCCAGCAUCUGCUGUUAUAGCAGAAGUAGGUCCUGUUUACAUCAGGGAAAGAUCCUCAGAUUACAGCAAGAGUUAACCACAGCUUUCCCAAAAGCUAUCAUCUGAGUUGAGUCCAAGCUGGACUCUGGAUGCUGCAAGGCUGUCAUGUUGGGAUGCUGCAAAAGACAUUGUUGCAUCUUCUCACUGUA
This 285-nucleotide long non-coding RNA is filed under the name Apteryx owenii (little spotted kiwi). RNAcentral's name for it is "lncRNA (ENSAOWG00000001716.1)". The record is from RNAcentral. Lineage: Eukaryota; Metazoa; Chordata; Aves; Apterygiformes; Apterygidae.